Molecule: ribosomal RNA, 275 nt
Filed under: uncultured bacterium
Lineage: Bacteria
Description: partial 16S ribosomal RNA
Rfam family: Bacterial small subunit ribosomal RNA
Source: RNAcentral
CAAACUUUUGAUGGCGACCGGCGCACGGGUGAGUAACACGUAUCCAACCUGCCUCAUACUCGGGGAUAGCCUUUCGAAAGAAAGAUUAAUACCCGAUGUUAUAGUCCUACCGCAUGAUGGGAUUAUUAAAGAAUUUCGGUAUGGGAUGGGGAUGCGUUCCAUUAGUUAAUUGGCGGGGUAACGGCCCACCAAGACAACGAUGGAUAGGGGUUCUGAGAGGAAGGUCCCCCACAUUGGAACUGAGACACGGUCCAAACUCCUACGGAAGGCAGCAG